GAUGAACGCUGGCGGCGUGCUUAACACAUGCAAGUCGAACGGAAAGGCCCAACUUUGCUUGGGUACUCGAGUGGCGAACGGGUGAGUAACACGUGGGUGAUCUGCCCUGCACUUCGUGACAUGCCUGGGAAACUGGGACUACUACCGGAUAGGACCACAUUUAGGUGGGGGUGGUGGAGAGUUUUGCGGUGUGGGCUGAGCUCGCGGCGUAUCAGCUGGUUGGUGGGGUAAUGGCUUACCAAGGCGUAGACCGUUAGUCGGCCUGAGAGGGUGUACGGCCACAUUGGGACUGAGAUACGGCCCAGACUCCUACGGGAGGCAGCAGUGGGGAAUAUUGCACAAUGGGCGCAAGCCUGAUGCAGCGACGCCGCGUGGGGGAUGACGGCCUUCGGGUUGUAAACUCCUUUCGCUAGGGACGAAGCGCAAGUGACGGUACCUGGAGAAGAAGCACCGGCUAACUACGUG
This 465-nucleotide ribosomal RNA is filed under the name uncultured bacterium. Its description in RNAcentral is "partial 16S ribosomal RNA". It matches the Rfam family "Bacterial small subunit ribosomal RNA", at positions 28 to 507 of the family's 1533-position model. The record is from RNAcentral.